Molecule: long non-coding RNA, 429 nt
Filed under: Chinchilla lanigera (long-tailed chinchilla)
Lineage: Eukaryota; Metazoa; Chordata; Mammalia; Rodentia; Chinchillidae
Description: lncRNA (ENSCLAG00000023755.1)
Source: RNAcentral
AUGUUGGGCAAGUGUUCUCUUGCAGAGCUGCACCCCCAGCUGUUGAAUACUGUUUUUUAUAGCCGACUUUCACCUUUUCUUCUCAGGGUUGUCAGUGUUGGCUACCUCAGCUGGCCUUUACCUUGUUCCUUUUUGCAAGACAGCAGCGUUACUGAUUGCUGUGAUGUCUGUCUUUGGCGCUGCAGCUGGUGUUCUGGAUACAGGCAGAAGAAGCAUGGACCAAACCACCAACCAGAACACAGACAAGGACAAUGCCCCAGGAAAAAAAGAUCCCUAAAUUGCUGGAGGAAAAGUGACCCAAGGGAAAAGCAUGAUUGCAGAAUGUACUCUUGUUUCCUAUUCCAGGUAACAACCUUUUGCUCUAGUGGUUUUUAAUCUUGGCUGUUAUUAAUUUCUGGGAAUUUUCAGGACUACUCAUGGCUAGAACUU